UACAGAGGUCUCAAGCGUUGUUCGGAUUCAUUGGGCGUAAAGGGCACGUAGGCGGCUCGGCAAAUCGGUCGUGGAAUCCCGACGCUUACCGUCGGAACGGCGGCCGAAAAUACCGGGCUAGAGGGCGUGAGGGGUCACUGGAACUCCUGGUGAAGCGGUGAAAUGCGUAGAUAUCAGGAGGAACGCCGGAGGCGAAAGCGAGUGACUGGCGCGUUCCUGACGCUGAGGUGCGAAAGCUAGGGGAGCAAACAGG
RNAcentral lists this ribosomal RNA (253 nucleotides) under uncultured bacterium. RNAcentral's name for it is "partial 16S ribosomal RNA". It matches the Rfam family "Bacterial small subunit ribosomal RNA", at positions 524 to 776 of the family's 1533-position model. The record is from RNAcentral.